This 89-nucleotide ribosomal RNA is filed under the name Gammaproteobacteria bacterium. Lineage: Bacteria; Pseudomonadati; Pseudomonadota; Gammaproteobacteria. The record is from RNAcentral.
ACCUGAUCCCAUCUCGAACUCAGAAGUGAAACUGCUCCGCGCCGAUGAUAGUGUAGUUCAAACUAUGCGAAAGUAGGUCAUCGCCAGGC